Molecule: unclassified non-coding RNA, 348 nt
Filed under: soil metagenome
Description: partial contains 5.8S ribosomal RNA, internal transcribed spacer 2, and large subunit ribosomal RNA
Rfam family: 5.8S ribosomal RNA (bases 1-120)
Source: RNAcentral
GAUGAAGAACGUAGUGAAAUGCGAUAAAUAAUGUGAAUUGCAGAAUUCAGUGAAUCAUCGAGUCUUUGAACGCACAUUGCGCCCCCUGGUAUUCCGGGGGGCAUGCCUGUCCGAGCGUCAUUGCUGCCCUCAAGCACGGCUUGUGUGUUGGGCCCCCGUCCCCCCCUCCCGGGGGACGGGCCCGAAAGGCAGCGGCGGCACCGCGUCCGGUCCUCGAGCGUAUGGGGCUUUGUCACCCGCUCUGUAGGCCCGGCCGGCGCCUGCCGACCACCAUCAAUCUUUUUUCCAGGUUGACCUCGGAUCAGGUAGGGAUACCCGCUGAACUUAAGCAUAUCAAUAAGCGGAAGA